Molecule: ribosomal RNA, 497 nt
Filed under: uncultured bacterium
Lineage: Bacteria
Description: partial 16S ribosomal RNA
Rfam family: Bacterial small subunit ribosomal RNA
Source: RNAcentral
GAUGAACGCUGGCGGCGUGCCUAAUACAUGCAAGUCGAGCGAACGGACGAGAAGCUUGCUUCUCUGAUGUUAGCGGCGGACGGGUGAGUAACACGUGGAUAACCUACCUAUAAGACUGGGAUAACUUCGGGAAACCGGAGCUAAUACCGGAUAAUAUUUUGAACCGCAUGGUUCAAAAGUGAAAGACGAUCUUGCUGUCACUUAUAGAUGGAUCCGCGCUGCAUUAGCUAGUUGGUAAGGUAACGGCUUACCAAGGCAACGAUGCAUAGCCGACCUGUGAGGGUGAUCGGCCACACUGGAACUGAGACACGGUCCAGACUCCUACGGGAGGCAGCAGUAGGGAAUCUUCCGCAAUGGGCGAAAGCCUGACGGAGCAACGGCGCGUGAGUGAUGAAGGUCUUCGGAUCGUAAAACUCUGUUAUUAGGGAAGAACAUAUGUGUAAGUAACUGUGCACAUCUUGACGGUACCUAAUCAGAAAGCCACGGCUAACUACGUG